This 305-nucleotide ribosomal RNA is filed under the name uncultured bacterium. RNAcentral describes it as "bacterial SSU rRNA". It matches the Rfam family "Bacterial small subunit ribosomal RNA", at positions 333 to 654 of the family's 1533-position model. The record is from RNAcentral.
UUUUGCCUACGGGAGGCAGCAGUGGGGGAUAUUGCACAAUGGGGGGAACCCUGAUGCAGCGACGCCGCGUGGGUGAAGAAGUAUUUCGGUAUGUAAAGCCCUAUCGGCAGGGAAGAAAUUAGACGGUACCUGACUAAGAAGCCCUGGCUAACUACGUGCCAGCAGCCGCGGUAAUACGUAGGGGGCAAGCGUUAUCCGGAUUCACUGGGUGUAAAGGGAGCGUAGACGGCCAUGCAAGCCUGGAGUGAAAGCCCGGGGGCCAACCCCGGGACUGCUCUGGGAACUGUGCGGCUGGGGUGCGGGGG